This 2811-nucleotide ribosomal RNA is filed under the name Escherichia coli. RNAcentral describes it as "bacterial LSU rRNA". It matches the Rfam family "Bacterial large subunit ribosomal RNA". The record is from RNAcentral. Lineage: Bacteria; Pseudomonadati; Pseudomonadota; Gammaproteobacteria; Enterobacterales; Enterobacteriaceae.
UUAAGCGACUAAGCGUACACGGUGGAUGCCCUGGCAGUCAGAGGCGAUGAAGGACGUGCUAAUCUGCGAUAAGCGUCGGUAAGGUGAUAUGAACCGUUAUAACCGGCGAUUUCCGAAUGGGGAAACCCAGUGUGAUUCGUCACACUAUCAUUAACUGAAUCCAUAGGUUAAUGAGGCGAACCGGGGGAACUGAAACAUCUAAGUACCCCGAGGAAAAGAAAUCAACCGAGAUUCCCCCAGUAGCGGCGAGCGAACGGGGAGNAGCCCAGAGCCUGAAUCAGUGUGUGUGUUAGUGGAAGCGUCUGGAAAGGCGCGCGAUACAGGGUGACAGCCCCGUACACAAAAAUGCACAUGCUGUGAGCUCGAUGAGUAGGGCGGGACACGUGGUAUCCUGUCUGAAUAUGGGGGGACCAUCCUCCAAGGCUAAAUACUCCUGACUGACCGAUAGUGAACCAGUACCGUGAGGGAAAGGCGAAAAGAACCCCGGCGAGGGGAGUGAAAAAGAACCUGAAACCGUGUACGUACAAGCAGUGGGAGCACGCUUAGGCGUGUGACUGCGUACCUUUUGUAUAAUGGGUCAGCGACUUAUAUUCUGUAGCAAGGUUAACCGAAUAGGGGAGCCGAAGGGAAACCGAGUCUUAACUGGGCGUUAAGUUGCAGGGUAUAGACCCGAAACCCGGUGAUCUAGCCAUGGGCAGGUUGAAGGUUGGGUAACACUAACUGGAGGACCGAACCGACUAAUGUUGAAAAAUUAGCGGAUGACUUGUGGCUGGGGGUGAAAGGCCAAUCAAACCGGGAGAUAGCUGGUUCUCCCCGAAAGCUAUUUAGGUAGCGCCUCGUGAAUUCAUCUCCGGGGGUAGAGCACUGUUUCGGCAAGGGGGUCAUCCCGACUUACCAACCCGAUGCAAACUGCGAAUACCGGAGAAUGUUAUCACGGGAGACACACGGCGGGUGCUAACGUCCGUCGUGAAGAGGGAAACAACCCAGACCGCCAGCUAAGGUCCCAAAGUCAUGGUUAAGUGGGAAACGAUGUGGGAAGGCCCAGACAGCCAGGAUGUUGGCUUAGAAGCAGCCAUCAUUUAAAGAAAGCGUAAUAGCUCACUGGUCGAGUCGGCCUGCGCGGAAGAUGUAACGGGGCUAAACCAUGCACCGAAGCUGCGGCAGCGACNNNNNNNNNNNNNNNNNNNNNNNNGAAGGUGUGCUGUGAGGCAUGCUGGAGGUAUCAGAAGUGCGAAUGCUGACAUAAGUAACGAUAAAGCGGGUGAAAAGCCCGCUCGCCGGAAGACCAAGGGUUCCUGUCCAACGUUAAUCGGGGCAGGGUGAGUCGACCCCUAAGGCGAGGCCGAAAGGCGUAGUCGAUGGGAAACAGGUUAAUAUUCCUGUACUUGGUGUUACUGCGAAGGGGGGACGGAGAAGGCUAUGUUGGCCGGGCGACGGUUGUCCCGGUUUAAGCGUGUAGGCUGGUUUUCCAGGCAAAUCCGGAAAAUCAAGGCUGAGGCGUGAUGACGAGGCACUACGGUGCUGAAGCAACAAAUGCCCUGCUUCCAGGAAAAGCCUCUAAGCAUCAGGUAACAUCAAAUCGUACCCCAAACCGACACAGGUGGUCAGGUAGAGAAUACCAAGGCGCUUGAGAGAACUCGGGUGAAGGAACUAGGCAAAAUGGUGCCGUAACUUCGGGAGAAGGCACGCUGAUAUGUAGGUGAAGUCCCUCGCGGAUGGAGCUGAAAUCAGUCGAAGAUACCAGCUGGCUGCAACUGUUUAUUAAAAACACAGCACUGUGCAAACACGAAAGUGGACGUAUACGGUGUGACGCCUGCCCGGUGCCGGAAGGUUAAUUGAUGGGGUCAGCGCAAGCGAAGCUCUUGAUCGAAGCCCCGGUAAACGGCGGCCGUAACUAUAACGGUCCUAAGGUAGCGAAAUUCCUUGUCGGGUAAGUUCCGACCUGCACGAAUGGCGUAAUGAUGGCCAGGCUGUCUCCACCCGAGACUCAGUGAAAUUGAACUCGCUGUGAAGAUGCAGUGUACCCGCGGCAAGACGGAAAGACCCCGUGAACCUUUACUAUAGCUUGACACUGAACAUUGAGCCUUGAUGUGUAGGAUAGGUGGGAGGCUUNNNNNNAUCCGGGUUGCGGACAGUGUCUGGUGGGUAGUUUGACUGGGGCGGUCUCCUCCUAAAGAGUAACGGAGGAGCACGAAGGUUGGCUAAUCCUGGUCGGACAUCAGGAGGUUAGUGCAAUGGCAUAAGCCAGCUUGACUGCGAGCGUGACGGCGCGAGCAGGUGCGAAAGCAGGUCAUAGUGAUCCGGUGGUUCUGAAUGGAAGGGCCAUCGCUCAACGGAUAAAAGGUACUCCGGGGAUAACAGGCUGAUACCGCCCAAGAGUUCAUAUCGACGGCGGUGUUUGGCACCUCGAUGUCGGCUCAUCACAUCCUGGGGCUGAAGUAGGUCCCAAGGGUAUGGCUGUUCGCCAUUUAAAGUGGUACGCGAGCUGGGUUUAGAACGUCGUGAGACAGUUCGGUCCCUAUCUGCCGUGGGCGCUGGAGAACUGAGGGGGGCUGCUCCUAGUACGAGAGGACCGGAGUGGACGCAUCACUGGUGUUCGGGUUGUCAUGCCAAUGGCACUGCCCGGUAGCUAAAUGCGGAAGAGAUAAGUGCUGAAAGCAUCUAAGCACGAAACUUGCCCCGAGAUGAGUUCUCCCUGACUCCUUGAGAGUCCUGAAGGAACGUUGAAGACGACGACGUUGAUAGGCCGGGUGUGUAAGCGCAGCGAUGCGUUGAGCUAACCGGUACUAAUGAACCGUGAGGCUUAACCUU